Sorghum bicolor (sorghum) is the source of this 107-nucleotide small nucleolar RNA. It matches the Rfam family "Plant small nucleolar RNA R71". From Rfam's summary of the family: R71 is a member of the C/D box family of snoRNAs containing the C (UGAUGA) and D (CUGA) box motifs. Multiple nearly identical copies of this snoRNA have been identified in Arabidopsis, and it is thought to function as a 2'-O-ribose methylation guide for 18S ribosomal RNA. The record is from Rfam. NCBI's taxonomy places the organism in Eukaryota, Viridiplantae, Streptophyta, Magnoliopsida, Poales, Poaceae.
AUUCCGUGAUGUGGGCAUUCUAGGAUGUACUCGUGGAGACGUUCCCAUGCUUCGGGAAUGGUCUCAUCUUCCUUCUACUGAAAGCUCGAAAUUCUGGUCCUCAGGGC